AAGAAGAGGUAUAAAAGAUCACCGACUAGCUGCCUGCUACACACCCCGAGUAGUCUCACCAUUGCAGUCACCACUUUCACCUGAGGAAAGACAAGAGGCCGCGAGUUCUCAGUCCACAAGACAAACAGGACAACAACACAUCGGUUAACGGCCGCCGCCUUCUACCUGUGCGGGCUUUUGUUUCUUCUCCACGUCGACUCUGUGAACAGCUUGACAUGCAAGAAUUGUUCGUUCAUUACUCCUGACUGCAAUUCUGGCAACGUGGCAGAGAUUGACUGCGAACCCAGCAAAGUCUGCUACGCGGUUAGACUUUUCGUCCCAGGAGAUCCCAACCAGGUAUUUACACUUCGUGGCUGCACAGCAAAAAACGAAGGUUUCCACUGCGCGGAUUUCGCGGAUAUUUGGAAGGAAUGCCGCCUCUACUGCUCCACAGACAACUGUAACAGUGCAUCCAAUAUUGAUGACUAAUGAUAGGACUGUUUGACCUGCAUCAUUUUGUCAGAAAUCGCCACUGACACCAAAAACUAGGGUUUUAGUACUUUUAUGUUAUAAAAGGAAAUAUAAAGAGAAAAUACUCUUCAGUAAAAUUUUAUCCAAGAUACACAAAAGAUAAACUAUGUAAUCCCAUAUAAAAACCGUCUUCUGUAUUUAUUGCUUCUUGCUAUGCAUCAACGUGAAAGCUUUAAAAAGACAUUCCCAGUCAUAAAAUAUUGUUUCUGGCUUGUUAAAUGGCAACAUCUGACAUGAAAUUAUUUAAGUUGUGUCCAGAAAACUGAAGAAAAAUAGUAAUCGAUCGAAGUUGUUUGGUUUCUUUGUGGUGUGAAACUAUGUAGAAAUCGAUGUGAUUGUGUGAUACGUAUUCUAAUUUUGCAGCACUUUUUCUGCUGUCCUCUACAUUCUACUCUACCAUUCGCUCUUAUCGCUCUGUCUUUUUAUUUUACUAUGUCUGCUCGUAUUUCCGUUGUUGUUUCAAUCUGCGACGCCAUGAAUCAAUCAACAUUCAGCUGAAACCUUUUUUUUAAAUAAAAGAAGAUGAGCUGUGUAGACAAUUCAGUUGUCAGUCACUCAUUGAAUCCUUUUCACUUGGCUGUCAUUCAGAUGUAAACUUAAGUUUGUCAAUAAACACUUUGCCAAAGUAA
Pomacea canaliculata is the source of this 1139-nucleotide long non-coding RNA. RefSeq lists it as uncharacterized. The transcript has 3 exons. NCBI's taxonomy places the organism in Eukaryota, Metazoa, Mollusca, Gastropoda, Architaenioglossa, Ampullariidae. The record is from RefSeq and is a predicted model, not a curated record.